GACGAACGCUGGCGGCGUGCUUAACACAUGCAAGUCGAACGGAAAGGCCCUGCUUUUGUGGGGUGCUCGAGUGGCGAACGGGUGAGUAACACGUGUGUAACCUGCCCUUGACUUUGGGAUAACUUCAGGAAACUGGAGCUAAUACCGGAUAGGAGCUCCUGCUGCAUGGUGGGGGUUGGAAAGUUUCGGCGGUUGGGGAUGGACUCGCGGCUUAUCAGCUUGUUGGUGGGGUAGUGGCUUACCAAGGCUUUGACGGGUAGCCGGCCUGAGAGGGUGACCGGCCACAUUGGGACUGAGAUACGGACCAGACUCCUACGGGAGGCAGCAGUGGGGAAUAUUGCACAAUGGGCGGAAGCCUGAUGCAGCAACGCCGCGUGCGGGAUGACGGCCUUCGGGUUGUAAACCGCUUUCGCCUGUGACGAAGCGUGAGUGACGGUAAUGGGUAAAGAAGCACCGGCUAACUACGUG
This 468-nucleotide ribosomal RNA is filed under the name uncultured bacterium. RNAcentral's name for it is "partial 16S ribosomal RNA". It matches the Rfam family "Bacterial small subunit ribosomal RNA", at positions 28 to 507 of the family's 1533-position model. The record is from RNAcentral.